GCAGUAAGGAAUAUUGGUCAAUGGAGGCAACUCUGAACCAGCCAUGCCGCGUGCAGGAAGACUGCCCUAUGGGUUGUAAACUGCUUUUAUCCGGGAAUAAACCACAAUACGUGUAUUGUGCUGAAUGUACCGGAAGAAUAAGGAUCGGCUAACUCCGUGCCAGCAGCCGCGGUAAUACGGAGGAUCCAAGCGUUAUCCGGAUUUAUUGGGUUUAAAGGGUGCGUAGGCGGCCUAUUAAGUCAGGGGUGAAAGACGGUAGCUCAACUAUCGCAGUGCCUUUGAUACUGAUGGGCUUGAAUGAACUAGAGGUAGGCGGAAUGAGACAAGUAGCGGUGAAAUGCAUAGAUAUGUCUCAGAACACCGAUUGCGAAGGCAGCUUACUAUGGUUUAAUUGACGCUGAGGCACGAAAGCGUGGGGAUCAAACAGGAUUAGA
RNAcentral lists this ribosomal RNA (434 nucleotides) under uncultured bacterium. RNAcentral describes it as "bacterial SSU rRNA". It matches the Rfam family "Bacterial small subunit ribosomal RNA", at positions 351 to 782 of the family's 1533-position model. The record is from RNAcentral.